Molecule: ribosomal RNA, 490 nt
Filed under: uncultured bacterium
Lineage: Bacteria
Description: partial 16S ribosomal RNA
Rfam family: Bacterial small subunit ribosomal RNA
Source: RNAcentral
AUUGAACGCUGGCGGCAGGCCUAACACAUGCAAGUCGAACGGUAACAGGAAGCAGCUUGCUGCUUUGCUGACGAGUGGCGGACGGGUGAGUAAUGUCUGGGAAACUGCCUGAUGGAGGGGGAUAACUACUGGAAACGGUAGCUAAUACCGCAUAACGUCGCAAGACCAAAGAGGGGGACCUUAGGGCCUCUUGCCAUCGGAUGUGCCCAGAUGGGAUUAGCUAGUAGGUGGGGUAACGGCUCACCUAGGCGACGAUCCCUAGCUGGUCUGAGAGGAUGACCAGCUACACUGGAACUGAGACACGGUCCAGACUCCUACGGGAGGCAGCAGUGGGGAAUAUUGCACAAUGGGCGCAAGCCUGAUGCAGCCAUGCCGCGUGUAUGAAGAAGGCCUUCGGGUUGUAAAGUACUUUCAGCGGGGAGGAAGGGAGUAAAGUUAAUACCUUUGCUCAUUGACGUUACCCGCAGAAGAAGCACCGGCUAACUCCGUG